This 793-nucleotide long non-coding RNA is filed under the name Micromonas pusilla. Its description in RNAcentral is "long non-coding RNA (MPUS_LNC000112)". Lineage: Eukaryota; Viridiplantae; Chlorophyta; Mamiellophyceae; Mamiellales; Mamiellaceae. The record is from RNAcentral.
UUCUAUACACUGGUCCCCAUACGACCCCGUUCGCGUGGUGAACGCCGUUCCUUAAGGACUUUGCCCGGCGCGUCUCUCCGCCCACCCCUCGCUUUCAAUCCCCGCCCUCGACGCCUUUCAACUUCAACUGACGCCUAUGAACUCCACCCCGACAUCGCUUUGUAUGGAACGACCCUGAGCCGCUGGAGACGAAAGCGGGGACGAUGGUGCUGCUGCACGGCGAGAACGUGCACUACAGCGCGCCGAAUAAGAGCGACGCGAGCCGGCACGCGUACAGCGUGCACUUCGUGGAAGCGGACGCGACGUGGGACGAGAGGAACUGGUUGCAGAGGCGCGAGGAUUUUCCAUUCGUGAGGCUCGGGGACGGCGAGGAGUGAGGGCCGUUCUAUACAAGCGAACGUCGGGGCGGAGUUGAAAGGCGUCAGUUGGCGUUGAAAGGCGUCGAGGACGGGGAUUGAAAGCGGGGGAUGAGCGGAGAGAUGCGCCGGCAAAAGUCCUUAAGGAACGGCGUUCACCUCGCCAACGCGGUCGUAUGGGGACUAGUGUAUAGAACGCACCUGAAGACGUCGCGUCGGGAGACGCGCGACGACUGGACGAGGACGGGUUAGCGUCGCGGUCGCGCGAGGCGUCGGGAGAUCUCGCGCGCGUGUAAUAUCAUGAGCGUGUACUAUGCUAUGGUCUGUGAUGCCGUCCGCGGCCGCCGCGCUCGACGCGCGUACUCGUAUCCGCGGCGAGAGUUCGCAUCUCGUAAAAAAUCCUGUCUCAGCAGCCGAGAGAAAAAAUAAUCUGGAAC